UUUUUUUUCACGCACGCGAUGACAGUUCCUUACGAGGUUUUCCGUUGGUGCGGGGUGCUUUGCUUUGCUUUGUGGAAUCUAUUUUUCCUACGAAGUGAAAAAAGUGAUAUGAAGGAAUUCCUCUUCCAAAUAUUCGUCCGGGAUUUGCUGCAAGAGUUUCGCCAGGGAUUUGCUCCAGGAAUCCCUUUGGCUAUGGACUUAAAGCGGGGAAAGAAUUUCACUACAGCCGAAGAUGAACAGAUUUGUCGGUCUUGGUUAUGGGUGUCCAAGGACUCUAUUAAAGAGACAGACCAACAACGAAACGACUUUUGGACCACAGUCAAAAACCAUGUGGAAAAGAUUAUGCCAUCACUAAGUGGCCGGACUGCUGAUGGUCUCAGGCAGCGUUUUCAACAUUUAAGCGCCCUUGUAUCCAAGUACAGCUAGAUAAAAAUCUAAGAAAUAAAUUUCAAUAUGAUCUUGAUGUUUUAUUCGA
This is a long non-coding RNA of Aedes aegypti (yellow fever mosquito), 475 nucleotides long. RefSeq lists it as uncharacterized. The record is from RefSeq and is a predicted model, not a curated record. NCBI's taxonomy places the organism in Eukaryota, Metazoa, Arthropoda, Insecta, Diptera, Culicidae. The transcript is spliced from 2 exons.